RNAcentral lists this long non-coding RNA (3763 nucleotides) under Triticum aestivum (bread wheat). RNAcentral describes it as "long non-coding RNA (TAES_LNC014710)". The record is from RNAcentral. Lineage: Eukaryota; Viridiplantae; Streptophyta; Magnoliopsida; Poales; Poaceae.
UCAACUUCGAUCAAGGAGUUUGGAAGGGGGAUUCCUACAGGCAGUCGGCUCUGAUACAAACUUGUGACGCCCUCGAUUCAACCGUACACUAAUCAUACACGCAAAUGUGUACGAUCAAAAUCAAGGACUCACGGGAAGAUAUCACAACACAACUCUAGACACAAAUUAAAAUAAUACAAGCUUUAUAUUACAAGCCAGGGGCCUCGAGGGCUCGAAUACAUAAGCUCGAAAACACAAGAGUCGGUGGAAGCAACAAUAUCUGAGUAUAGACAUAAGUUAGACAAGUCUGCCUUAAGAAGGCUAGCACAAAAGCAACAACGAUCGAAAAGGCAAGGCCUCCUGCCUGGGAUCCUCCUAACUACUCCAAGUCGUCAGCAGCCGUCACGUAGUAGUAGGAAUCCUCGGGGUAGCAGUAGUCAUCAGUGGUGUCGUCUGGUUCCUGGUAUCCGUCAUCUAGUCGCAACAAUCGGGUAUGGGGGAAAAGAGGUAGCAAAGCAACCGUGAGUACUCAUCCAAAGUACUCGCAAGACUUACAUCAGAUCUAAACUAAGUAUGCAUCUGUAUCAAAGGAAAUGGGUUGUAUCUGUGGACUAAACUGCAGAAUACCAGAAGAGAAGGGGAAAGCCUAGCCUAUCAAAGACUAGCAUCUUCAAGCAUCUAGAAGAGUACAGAACAACAUAAUGUAAAGUAGUAGUGUUAUCAACCUCGGCCAGAGAUCCUUUCUCGACUCCCUGCGAGAAAGCAAUCCCAAAGCCAUACUAUCCAUUUCUCAUCUCAAGUAUCCAGUUCUAGUUGUAUCGAUCGGGAUACAACUCCAAGUGUCCGUUACCAUAGGACAGACUGUCGAUAGAUGUUUUCUUCCCUGCAAGGGUGCACCAACUUACCCACCACGCUCGAUUAACUCCGGCCGAAUACACUUUCUUGGGUCAUGCCCGGCCUCGGCCAAACAAUACGCCGCAACCCGACCUAGGCUUAAUAGAGAGGCCAGCACGCCGGACUAAACCUAUGCCCCCAGGGGUCUUGGGCCAUCGCCUCGGGAACUCCUGCACGUUGUGUGGGUGGCUGGUGAGUAGAACUAGCUACCUCCUUAAAAAGGCAGGAGCUUACCAGUCCAACCCGACGCGCGCCGCUCAGUCGUUGACGUCUAAUAAGCUUCGGCUGAUGCAUACGACGCAGAACGCUCAUACAAUGCCCGCGUGAUGGUUAGUGCUAUUAGACCAGAGGCCCCUCAGAUCAAAUAUCCAAACCGUUAGUGUGUUGGUAGUGCGGUCGCGAGCAAAGACUCAUGAAAGAUGUGACCCCGUUGCCCCGUCUCGAGUACUUACGGCAAGGGCUAAGAAUGCCCGGCCACGCCUCGUAAGUAUCUCGCGGGCACCCUCCAGGUCAACCCGACUCCACAUCACUCGCUAUUAAGCUCGUGCGGGUACCCCUCAGGGCCGACCUGCCUUUAGUAACAUGGUUCAGUGUAAAUUCAUAGUAACUAUAGUAACUGUGUGUCUAACACCAGGGGGAAAACCCGAGGAAUCACCCCCGGUGAAUUCCACUCGAUGUUAUCAUCAAGGUGAACGUAAGAGGAUCCACCCUCGAGGUUCACACUUGAGGGGUUGCACGACAGAGCCGUAACGGAAGUGGUUAAGGAGGAAAUCACCCUCGAUGACCUCGAUCGUAUAGCUACACUACAGAGAUCUCAUCAGGAGUGAUGUAAGAGGUUCCACCCUCGGCACUCGAUGGUAACUCUACAGAGUCGUACAACUGGGGGGUGAUGUGCGGUGUCGGGGCCUGGACGUCAAUCACGUUGAUCGAGUCAUCAAACAUAAAGCGAGGUAACUGGGACAAGGUGGGGUCACGGAUGGAUCUCUAACCAACCUAUACUAAGCAGUUUAGGAUAAGCAGGUAAGGUAUGAAAGCAGGUAACAAAAAUAGGCUAUGCAUCAUAGUAGGAUCAUACAGAAAGCAGUAGCAGUUCUAAUGCAAGCAUGAGAGGGAAGGAAAUAGGCGAUAUCGAAAUGCUCAAGGGGGGUUUGCUUGACUGGUUGCUCAGACGAGAUGGAUGGGUCGUCGGUGACGUAGUAGAUCACCAGGGCCUUAGCAGCGGUCUCGGGGUCUACCGGAGAGAAGAGGGGGAAGAAACAGUAAAUACAGAGCAAACAAGUGCAAUACUAUGCAUGAUAAGACAAAAAGCGGUGUUAGGGGUGUUCUAACGUGGCACUACACACUACCGGCAAAGGGGGAUAACAUCCGGGAAAGUUUUCCCGAAGUUUGCAUAUUCGGACAGACGAACCGAAGGGGAAAGGUUCGAUGUUCGCUAUGCAAGGGGCAUGUGACAGAUGAACGGAGAGCGUAUUCCGAUUCGUCUCAUCAUUCUGAACAACUUUCAUGUAUAAAACUUUUUCAUCCGAGGUACGGUUCAUUUUAUAUGAAUUUCUAAAGUUUUAACCUAUAUUCUAGAAAACCCUGAAAUUUUGCUAAGUCUGAGAAUUCGACAGUUUUUUUUAAACAUCACUUGGCUGUUUUCAAAAGACUACAACUAUUGUUCUGUACAUCCUAUGGGUUAGUGCCUUAUAUCAAUUUUGAGUACUUUUCUAUGAUCUACAUGUUAGUACCAAUUACAUCCAUAUUAGAGUUCAUUUGCUUGAACAUCAAGAGCACUAAAGUAGCUAUGAAAAUAAAACUGUUUUUCGGUUUUUCUAUUAACAGAACGUAGAUUUUUGUCAUUUUCAAAUGAUUUAAUCCGUGCCUUAAAUGGAUUUGUUCCAAUGGAAUAAAAUGGAUUUUGUCAAGUGUACUAUCUGUCCAUAUAAUUUUUACGCAUAUUAACUUUCGCUUAGUGGCUGUUCAGGGGCUGUCCAGUGGGCUAGUCAGGUUGAAGUGGCAAAAGCUAGCAAGCGCUACAGUAACCUUCAGUUUACUGUAGCGAGUAAUGUAGGCAGAGCAGUGCUAGCAUCGUCAGCACACAGCUGCGAGGAGCAGGGACACGGGCAGGGGGCUGCCAAGCACGCGCUUUGGCACGGCUGAGCGCGAGCGGGGUGUGGCCAGGCCAUGGCUAGGAGCAGCGGGCGCAUGCAGGCUGUAGCAGGCGGACGCGGAUGGACACGGCAAGGCGCCGGCGGUCAAGACCAGCAUCGCGGGGCGACCGAGCAGGGCUCGGCGAGCGUGGACGCGCGCGUGUGGGCGCGCUGCGAGGGGUGGAGGGGACGGGGCGGCACGUAGGCAGACGAGGCUACAGGCAGCAGCGACAGAGACAGCAGCAGUACAGGCGGGCGAGCGGGCGAGAAAGGGCUCGGCCCGGACGAGCACUGGCACGAUAAAGCACGGCCUGGGCAAGCACGAGACGGCCAGAGGGCAUAGGGGAGCGCGGCUAGGGCGCGCGCGGAGCAAAGCUCCGACGGUCCGGCCAUGGCGGCCGAAGCUCGAGGUCGACGACUAAAUGGUGAUGGAACGAGACGAAAAAAGAGGGGAUCCGGAGGAGGGGCUCACAAUGAGUUCGGUGGUGAGGUCGGGGAGGUCAGGGAGGCGCCGAAGCAAACGCAACAACGGCGAGGUUGUGACGACCAGACGAAGAAGAUGAAGACGACGUCGGCUCGAGGGCGUCCCGACUUGAGCUGGUCGCCCGGACGAACGAAUCCGGCGACGGCGGACCUCCCGGAUGUGCUCCCGAACGUCGAAGACGUCGGUGGCCGUGACAACGACGGUGUGGCAGCGGUGAUCGCAGUUUCUUUCGAGCUCAAAUUCGAGCAGCAGAGGAAGGGGGCGAAGGGGGAAC